Long non-coding RNA from Saccostrea echinata, 258 nucleotides. RefSeq lists it as uncharacterized. NCBI's taxonomy places the organism in Eukaryota, Metazoa, Mollusca, Bivalvia, Ostreida, Ostreidae. The record is from RefSeq and is a predicted model, not a curated record. The transcript has 3 exons.
AUUCACUCCGGAACUAAAAGUGCGCAUGCGCAAAAACAUCAAACCCGAUCAUAAUUACCCAAGUCAACAUGGCGGCGUCCAUGAAUAGAAGAAAGCUCAAUCAAUCAAUGUGCGCUCUUCUUAAACUGAUCGGUAAAUGGUCAGCUUGGAUUCCAGCAGAGGGUGAGAGUGCCACUAUCAAUGAUUUGGGAGGAGGAUCAAAUUGAAGACAAAAGAUGAAGCACUCAGAAAUGGACCUAUAACUUGUGCAUUAAGUCC